UUUUCAUCCGGCCGCAGCAUCCUGUUAGGCCUGCUGCCCCGCGCUCGCGCCCAAAUCCGACCGCGCUCGCGCCCAAAUUGGCUGCUCCCGCCGCCCUAGCUCGCCCCAGCCCAAUCCCGCAGGGACUCCCGCCGCCCCGCGCUCGCCCCAGUCCGCGGACGUCCCAAUCCCGCACGGAGACGCCGGGCCGCCGCGACCGGAGUUCGGUGGCCAGCUGCCGGGGCAGGCGAGCGGACGCCGCGCGAGGCAGGACCGCGUGGGCGCCGCGUGAGGCAGGCGAGCGGGCGGGGGCCGCGCCGCUGCCCUGAGUCCGGUCAACAAGCUCGGCGGCCCGGACAGUGAGUGCUCUGCUUUUCUUUCCGUCCUGCUUCAGUUCCUCAGAUAAGUUUACUGAUGAAGCCUGCUAGACGUGAAGGCGACGGCUUCAACCAUCCAAUGCAAUCUGCUAGUAUGAUUCUGCUUUUACAGAACAUGUAGGCAUGCAUUGUUCUGGCCGAAUUCUGCUCGGCUUGGCUGCUGACCGGAACAGAAGCGACGCCCAGUCGGUGCUCAGAUUGAUGGGCAUGAAAGGCCUCACUCUGAAAAGCCACCUUCAGAAAUAUAGACUGGGAAGACAGGAAAAGAAAAGCACAGGGCCGGAACUUGCCAACGGUAGUGAUCACCACGCGGCUCGACGGCCUCCGGCGGUGCAUUCCAGUGCCGGCGGCCCCCCUCUCAACAGCCUCCUCUAGGUGACACCAGCCCGCCGCCACCCGCGCGAGCCGCCGCGAGGGCAGACCCGGUGGCCGGCCGCUCCUCUGCUCGCGGCGGCAGGGCCACGGCGGCCACCUCCAGCGCCGGCGUCCUAGCGGCGGAUUCCAGCGCUGGCAGCCCCGGCGGACUGCCGCGACGCCGCCCCCCAGUCCGUCGGCGUCGUCACCGGCGGCGGCCCCGCCGGCCUCCCGCGGCGACGACCCCGGCGGAGUCCCGCGCCAGCAGCCCCAGCCUUCCAUAGCAACAGCCACGGCGGAGUCCCGCGGCGGCGCCGACUCCCCUCCCAGCGGCUGCGGCGGGCGGCUGCGGGGGGCGGAGGAACGGCGGGCGGACGCGCUCUGGGCGAACGUCCUUGGCGGCGUAGUUGAAAACGGGACGAUGAGAAGGCUUGCGACGGGAUGAAAACGGAGGGGCGGGCUCAAAACGGAAGUGCUUGGGCGGACCGGCGCAGCGGAGCGUCCGAUUCAUUUUUAGUGCUCCAGAUGGCUCCAAUGUUUCAUGGUGACAUGCUGUGGCGAUGUUACCGAAUCUGAAUCCCCUCGAGCUGCCGCCCCUGCCCCCGGUCCCGCGAGCCCCAGCAGCCGCUCCUCCCUGUGCCCCGCGAGCACCGCCGGCCGCUGACCGCGCAGCAGCUCAGCCUGCGUCCCGCGAGCACCGUGAGCCCCGGCAGCCGCCCCUUCCUAUACCCCGCGAGCUUUGGGCCUGCGUCCCGCGAGCUCCGCCGGCCACUUGACGCCCCGACCGCGCAGGAAUGGCGUCCGUGCCAGGCUGCCAGCGCUGGAAGGGGCGGCCGCGACUCCGAUGAGAGCCCGGAGCGGGGGCUUCUAGAUGUAAGAGUCUGGAGGUCAAGGAUGAGAGCAUCUCCAACAGAUAAAAAGCUUCUCAAACUGCCAAACUUUCCAACAGACUCUUUAAAACUAGAUUCUCUAUUGCUGCAGUGCCAGUGGACCCCACUUGUCAUACACUCCUAUCUUAUCUUCUUCCUUUCUCCACCGCGAGCCACAUCUCCGCUGCCCCAAGCCCUCUUCGCCGCCGCCGCGUGCCCUCUCGAGCUCCGCUCCGCCGCCGCGCGCCACU
Panicum virgatum (switchgrass) is the source of this 1830-nucleotide long non-coding RNA. RefSeq lists it as uncharacterized. NCBI's taxonomy places the organism in Eukaryota, Viridiplantae, Streptophyta, Magnoliopsida, Poales, Poaceae. The record is from RefSeq and is a predicted model, not a curated record. The transcript is spliced from 3 exons.